AUGAGGCUGGUUGCUGUCAUUGACACGAUCAUCUCCCCCGCGCAAUCUGCAUUCCAGAAGGCCAAGUGCAUCCACGACAGCUUCCUCUUCGUUCAGAAUAGUGUUCGCGCUCUGCAUCACCGCAAAACUCCCACCUUGCUGCUGAAAUUAGAUAUAGCAAAGGCUUUUGACAGUGUGUCAUGGGAGUACAUCUUAGAACUGCUAGAAAAAAUGGGCUUCCCGGCACGCUGGAGGGACUGGGUGGCCCUGCAUCUCUCGACCUCGUCAUCUGCCUGCCUCCUCAAUGGCGUUCCUGGCCGCCCCAUUGAGCAUCGACGUGGCUUGCGGCAGGGAGACCCGCUCUCUCCCCUCCUGUUCAUCCUCUGCAUCGAUCCACUGCAUAGACUGUUAGAAGAUGCAACUAGAGACGACCUCCUCCAUCCAAUCCCCGGUAGAACGGCGUGCAUGCGCACCAGCCUAUACACCGACGAUGCAGCCAUCUUCAUCAACCCCGUGCGCCAGGAGAUCGACGAGCUAUUGCACAUCCCGCGCCUCUUUGGAGAGGCAACCGGGCUGCGCGUCAACUUAGGAAAAUCAUCCGCCAUCCCGAUCGCGUGCGAC
RNAcentral lists this ribosomal RNA (600 nucleotides) under Triticum aestivum (bread wheat). RNAcentral's name for it is "partial small subunit ribosomal RNA". Lineage: Eukaryota; Viridiplantae; Streptophyta; Magnoliopsida; Poales; Poaceae. The record is from RNAcentral.